RNAcentral lists this ribosomal RNA (484 nucleotides) under uncultured bacterium. RNAcentral's name for it is "partial 16S ribosomal RNA". It matches the Rfam family "Bacterial small subunit ribosomal RNA", at positions 30 to 507 of the family's 1533-position model. The record is from RNAcentral.
AUUGAACGCUGGCGGCAGGCCUAACACAUGCAAGUCGAGCGGAUGAAGGGAGCUUGCUCCUGGAUUCAGCGGCGGACGGGUGAGUAAUGCCUAGGAAUCUGCCUGGUAGUGGGGGAUAACGUCCGGAAACGGGCGCUAAUACCGCAUACGUCCUGAGGGAGAAAGUGGGGGAUCUUCGGACCUCACGCUAUCAGAUGAGCCUAGGUCGGAUUAGCUAGUUGGUGGGGUAAAGGCCUACCUAGGCGACGAUCCGUAACUGGUCUGAGAGGAUGAUCAGUCACACUGGAACUGAGACACGGACCAGACUCCUACGGGAGGCAGCAGUGGGGAAUAUUGGACAAUGGGCGAAAGCCUGAUCCAGCCAUGCCGCGUGUGAGAAGAAGGUCUUCGGAUUGUAAAGCACUUUAAGUUGGGAGGAAGGGCAGUAAGUUAAUACCUUGCUGUUUUGACGUUACCAACAGAAUAAGCACCGGCUAACUUCGUG